GGACGCUUAGCUCAGUUGGUUAGAGCACCUGCUUCACACGCAGGGGGUCAUUGGUUCGAGUCCAAUAGCGUCCACCA
RNAcentral lists this transfer RNA (77 nucleotides) under Lacunisphaera sp. RNAcentral describes it as "tRNA-Val". It matches the Rfam family "tRNA". From Rfam's summary of the family: Transfer RNA (tRNA) molecules are approximately 80 nucleotides in length. The record is from RNAcentral. Lineage: Bacteria; Pseudomonadati; Verrucomicrobiota; Opitutia; Opitutales; Opitutaceae.